Molecule: ribosomal RNA, 406 nt
Filed under: uncultured bacterium
Lineage: Bacteria
Description: partial 16S ribosomal RNA
Rfam family: Bacterial small subunit ribosomal RNA
Source: RNAcentral
AUUGAACGCUGGCGGCAGGCUUAACACAUGCACGUCGAGCUCGCGGCGGACGGGUGAGUACUGUCUGGGAAACUGCCUGCUCGCGGUGUAUACCUCCUGGACACGGUCGCUAAUACCUCAUACCAUCAGAUGUUCCCAGAUGGGCUUAGCUAGUCGUGGGGGUAAUGGCUCCCCUAGGCGACGAUCCCUAGCUGGUCUGAGAGUAUGACCAGCCACACUGGAACUGAGACACGGUCCAGACUCCUACGGGAGGCAGCAGGGGGGAAUAUGGCACAAUGGGCGCAAGCCUGAUGCAGUCAUGCCGCGUGUAUGAAGAAGGCCUUAGGGUUGUAAAGUACUUUCAGCGGGGAGGCGUUACCCGCAGAAGAAGCACCGGCUAACUCCGUGCCAGCCGCCGCGGUAAUAC